CAGUCGCCGCGGUAAUACGAGGGGGGCAAGCGUUGUUCGGAUUUAUUGGGCGUAAAGGGUGCGUAGGCGGUUUGGCAAGUCUUAUGUGAAAUCUAUGGGCUCAACCCAUAGUCUGCAUGAGAAACUACCGGGCUUGAGUGAUGGAGAGGUGAGUGGAAUUUCCGGUGUAGCGGUGAAAUGCGUAGAUAUCGGAAGGAACACCUGUGGCGAAAGCGGCUCACUGGACAUUAACUGACGCUGAUGCACGAAAGCUAGGGGAGCAAACAGGAUUAGAUACCCCCGUAGUCCCUGUCUCUUAUAC
Molecule: ribosomal RNA, 301 nt
Filed under: uncultured bacterium
Lineage: Bacteria
Description: partial 16S ribosomal RNA
Rfam family: Bacterial small subunit ribosomal RNA
Source: RNAcentral